UACGGAGGGUGCAAGCGUUGUCCGGAAUCACUGGGCGUAAAGGGCGCGUAGGCGGCCUGUUAAGUCGAACGUGAAAUCCCCGGGCUCAACCCGGGAACUGCGUCCGAUACUGGCAGGCUUGAAUCCGGGAGAGGGAUGCGGAAUUCCAGGUGUAGCGGUGAAAUGCGUAAAUAUCUGGAGGAACACCGGUGGCGAAGGCGGCAUCCUGGACCGGCAUUGACGCUGAGGCGCGAAAGCGUGGGGAGCAAACAGG
This 253-nucleotide ribosomal RNA is filed under the name uncultured bacterium. RNAcentral describes it as "partial 16S ribosomal RNA". It matches the Rfam family "Bacterial small subunit ribosomal RNA", at positions 524 to 776 of the family's 1533-position model. The record is from RNAcentral.